CAAUCAUAAAUAUAUAAGAUGUCUGUAAGUGAAACACUUAUAGUUUGCAUCAUUGUUACUGCAAUAUGCAUCACAACAGUAUAUAUAUUUACAUGUAAACAGCACAAUUGCAUUUAUAUGCUUUCAAUACUGAACUCUCAGGUAAUUCAAUAUAUUCUGCCUAGGAUGUAUAUAAUAGUGAAAUUAAAAUAACAGUAUAUUGUAUUGCACAUAGAAUUAAUGAAAGAAGCAGUUGACAUAAAUAUAGAACCCAUCAAUACAGUUACGAGACCGAUCAUAAAAUUCAGAGAUCAAUCACGCUUGACAUAAAUUGUUUACCUUAGUGGUAGAGGAUUUCAUUGACAACAAUAAAAAUGUUAGCCAGCUUUCUUAAUUAGUUGACAUAUAUAAAGUGUUAAAAAAAAAUUUCAACCACAUAAUACAUUUAUUUCAACUGAAAGCAUGUCUAACCGAUAAACUUGUACCGGUACAAAGAAAAGUGUUAAAGCAAACAGGUUAUGGAUGGAAAUGAGGGAGAUUGGGGCCAUUAUGAAGUUGACGAAUUUAACAUUCCAACUCAAUCUGGCUGACUCAAAAUUUGCAUGCUUCAGUCUGGGGUUAUGUGUUCAGGUGAAGAAAAUCUCAAUCUGGUUGAAGAAAAGCACAAUCAUUAAAUUCAUGAAAUCACAGAUAAUGGAAUUUCAAUUUGCAGCCAUUUUAAAAUUAAUAAAAAAAAGGUGUAGGCUUCAAACUGAAUGAAAUGACAUAGAUUUUAGAAUUCCUCAUAGACAGUGAUUCGGGUUAGUGAGGUUUCGGGUUAAUCAGGGUUUUUUUCCUAUUACUAUCAGUGAUGAUGUGAUACAUGGAAAGGGAUUCAGGUUAGAGAGGUUUUGGGUUAAUCAGUUUUUCCUGUUUUCAGUGAUGAAGCGAUAUAUGUAAAGGGAUUCGGGUUAGAGAGGUUUCGGGUUAAUCAGUUUUUACCUGUUUUCAGUGAUGAAGCGGUAUAUGUAAAGGGAUUCAGGUUAGAGAGCUUUCGGGUUAAUAAGUUUUUACCUGUUUUCAGUGAUGAAGCGAUACAUGUAUUACUAGUCUACUCUAUAGCUAGGAUUCAAAAAUGUCGAGACGAAAAGUGAAAACAAAUCCUGCACAAACAGAGAAGUACUCAGUGAUAGGUGUAGAUCAAAACAAGAAAUUAGCGAAGUUAAUUAGUAAUCUACAUGGAGGAGUGUUAAUUAAAGCAGCAAUAUGUCAGCUAUGGAGGAGAGUAUGCAACCUUUCUCUACUGUAACAGUCGCUGUCCAGUAAGUCUCAGAAUCAACAAUAAUGACACAUUCAAUAAUUAGUUCCUGUAAUUAUAGAAAAAUGAUUAUUGUAUGAAAAUUAGCUAUAGUGACGAUAUAGCAGCACUGUGUAUAGUAUUUAAGUUCU
Long non-coding RNA from Magallana angulata, 1407 nucleotides. RefSeq lists it as uncharacterized. The transcript is spliced from 2 exons. The record is from RefSeq and is a predicted model, not a curated record. NCBI's taxonomy places the organism in Eukaryota, Metazoa, Mollusca, Bivalvia, Ostreida, Ostreidae.